Molecule: microRNA precursor, 199 nt
Filed under: Oryza brachyantha (malo sina)
Lineage: Eukaryota; Viridiplantae; Streptophyta; Magnoliopsida; Poales; Poaceae
Description: MIR1435 microRNA precursor family
Rfam family: MIR1435 microRNA precursor family
Source: Rfam by way of RNAcentral
UAGUUUUGUUCUAGGUCAAACUUAUCUAACUUUGACUGAGUUUAUUGAUAAAUGCACCAACAUCUACACUAACAAAUCUAUACACUAUCAAAACUUAUUACAUGGUGGAUUUAAUAAAACCAAUUUGUUGUUGUAGAUGUUGGUUCAUUUUUUUAUAAACUUGUCAAAGUUAGAGAAGUUUGAUUUAGGAUGAAACCAA